CGGAGGAAAAGAAACCAACAGGGAUUGCCCUAGUAACGGCGAGUGAAGCGGCAACAGCUCAAAUUUGAAAUCUGGCCCCUUUGGGGUCCGAGUUGUAAUUUGCAGAGGGUGCUUUGGCGUUGGCGGCGGUCUAAGUUCCUUGGAACAGGACAUCGCAGAGGGUGAGAAUCCCGUAUGUGGUCGCCUGCCUUCGCCGUGUAAAGCCCCUUCGACGAGUCGAGUUGUUUGGGAAUGCAGCUCUAAAUGGGAGGUAAAUUUCUUCUAAAGCUAAAUACCGGCCAGAGACCGAUAGCGCACAAGUAGAGUGAUCGAAAGAUGAAAAGCACUUUGGAAAGAGAGUCAAACAGCACGUGAAAUUGUUGAAAGGGAAGCGCUUGCAGCCAGACUUGCCUGUAGUUGCUCACCCGGGCUCCUGCCCGGGGCACUCUUCUGCAGGCAGGCCAGCAUCAGUUUGGGCGGUUGGAUAAAGGGCUCUGACACGUACUUCCCUUCGGGGUUGACAUACAGGGGAGCCGCAAUGCGACCUGCCCGGACUGAGGUCCGCGC
Molecule: ribosomal RNA, 546 nt
Filed under: fungal endophyte
Lineage: Eukaryota; Fungi
Description: eukaryotic LSU rRNA
Rfam family: Eukaryotic large subunit ribosomal RNA
Source: RNAcentral